CAGCAGCCACGGGAAUACGGAGGGGGCUAGCGUUGUUCGGAAUUACUGGGCGUAAAGCGCACGUAGGCGGCUUGGUAAGUUAGAGGUGAAAGCCCGGAGCUCAACUCCGGAAUUGCCUUUAAGACUGCCGAGCUAGUAGGUGAGGGAGGUAAGUGGAAUUCCGAGUGUAGAGGUGAAAUUCGUAGAUAUUCGGAAGAACACCAGUGGCGAAGGCGGCUCACUGGACGCGUAUUGACGCUGAGGUGCGAAAGCGUGGGGAGCAAACAGGAUUAGAUACCCCCGUAGUCCCUGUCUCUUAUAC
RNAcentral lists this ribosomal RNA (301 nucleotides) under uncultured bacterium. Its description in RNAcentral is "partial 16S ribosomal RNA". It matches the Rfam family "Bacterial small subunit ribosomal RNA", at positions 509 to 807 of the family's 1533-position model. The record is from RNAcentral.